AAGACUAUAGACCUGCGGAGUACCUGCGGAAGGAUCAUUACCAAGAGAAAUCUUUCAACACUGAAAGAUCUUUUCCUUUGUGCUGGCUUUGACCGUAUGUAAUUUUGGGACUUUAAAAUGGUUCGCAAGGGCCGGUCCCAAAAACAAUAUAUCAUCCUUAUGAAAUUUUUUCUGAACAAUUAAACAAAUGAUUUUAAUAAUCUGUUUAAAACAACUUUUAACAACGGAUCUCUAGAUCGG
Molecule: unclassified non-coding RNA, 240 nt
Filed under: soil metagenome
Description: partial contains 5.8S ribosomal RNA, internal transcribed spacer 2, and large subunit ribosomal RNA
Source: RNAcentral